UGGGGUGUGGCUUAGCGGUAGAGCUCUCGACUCGCAUGUGAAAGACCCUGGGUUCCAUCUUCAGCACCACAU
Molecule: transfer RNA, 72 nt
Filed under: Marmota marmota marmota (Alpine marmot)
Lineage: Eukaryota; Metazoa; Chordata; Mammalia; Rodentia; Sciuridae
Also listed under: 1 other name
Rfam family: tRNA
About the family: Transfer RNA (tRNA) molecules are approximately 80 nucleotides in length. Their secondary structure includes four short double-helical elements and three loops (D, anti-codon, and T loops). Further hydrogen bonds mediate the characteristic L-shaped molecular structure. tRNAs have two regions of fundamental functional importance: the anti-codon, which is responsible for specific mRNA codon recognition, and the 3' end, to which the tRNAs corresponding amino acid is attached (by aminoacyl-tRNA synthetases). tRNAs cope with the degeneracy of the genetic code in two manners: having more than one tRNA (with a specific anti-codon) for a particular amino acid; and 'wobble' base-pairing, i.e. permitting non-standard base-pairing at the 3rd anti-codon position.
Source: Rfam by way of RNAcentral